ACCGAUGGCAGCGUUUCAUCCUCCACAGAAGUUUCUUGUUGCCAGACGACAUGCUGAAUACAAGCAUGGAUUUUGUGAAACACGCAUUUGUGUUUCACCUACAGACUGGGAUGGCGCAGGAGUUACUUCAGGACUGGUGACUUCAACCCACAGUCUUCAGAACCACCAGUCACCAAGCAUAGCUGCUCCUAAUGACAUUUCCUAUUCUAGAGCGGAUGGUUCUGUGCAACCUCUCCUAAACUGGUUUUCCGCAAGAUGCAGCACGGAAAUAGGAAGAGGCCACUCAAUGACUUCUGAUACAAAGACUUCAAAUGGUAGGAAUAUUCCAUCUUUAGUGUUUAGCUACCCCUUCCGUAAUUUUCGCUUUCAAAUGACCCAUCGCCAGUCUUCAAAUCAGAAUCAGGCUUUUCUAACUGGAAGCAAGACGGUGGCUUCAAAGACCAUUCCAAAUAAGACAUUGUAAAAAUAGUUGUUGAAAAAAUUGUAUAAAUAUGAUUGUUGCUCACAUGCUGUGUGUGUGUGUUUGUUUUUAAUGUACGCAAACUGGC
Long non-coding RNA from Alosa alosa (allis shad), 548 nucleotides. RefSeq lists it as uncharacterized. Lineage: Eukaryota; Metazoa; Chordata; Actinopteri; Clupeiformes; Clupeidae. The transcript is spliced from 3 exons. The record is from RefSeq and is a predicted model, not a curated record.